AGUAUUAGUUGUUUUCUUGAAAUCUAAAAUAUAUGGCGGUAUUUUAUCUGUUCAGAGGAACCUGUUUCGUAAUUGAUAGUCCACGAUUUAAUUUACUUUAAAUUUUAGCUUGUAUAUCGUUGUGAUGGAUUAUUUUAGAAGAAUUUAAAAUGAUCAAUAUUUUUAAUUAAAUUUAAAUCAAAUCAAGAUGCAGUUUAUGUUAAAGAGAUUAAUGGGUUACAUUAAAUUUAUUUUUGGUUUAUUAUUUUUAAUUUUAAUAAUAAAUUGGAUUUGAAAGUAAUAUUAUUUAAAUAUUUUAUAUGAAUUUAGCUCUAAAGUAUGU
Molecule: ribosomal RNA, 322 nt
Filed under: Arrhipis senegalensis
Lineage: Eukaryota; Metazoa; Arthropoda; Insecta; Coleoptera; Eucnemidae
Description: partial 12S ribosomal RNA
Source: RNAcentral